This 264-nucleotide long non-coding RNA is filed under the name Mytilus galloprovincialis (Mediterranean mussel). The record is from RNAcentral. Lineage: Eukaryota; Metazoa; Mollusca; Bivalvia; Mytilida; Mytilidae.
AGCCUUACUGCGAAGGAAUAAGAAUGUCGAGAAUCUGUCGAGAAAUUUAAAGACAGUAUUCAAAUGUUAGGAAUUUGUCAACAAUUUUUAAGAACAUAUUCAGAAUGUCGAGAAUUUGUCAGGUACAUUUCAUAUAGAUGUAAUAAAAAUCAGAAUUUGUCAAGAAAAAUUAAGACUCAAGGGAUACUUUUGGAAAAGGUCGAGUAAUUGUUUAUGCAAAUUUGACAAAAAAUGGUCUUUUCAGACUUUUGAACUUUUGUAGUU